AGUGAACGCUGGCGGCAGGCCUAACACAUGCAAGUCGAACGGCAGCACGGCAGUAGCAAUACUGUGGGUGGCGAGUGGCGGACGGGUGAGGAAUACAUGGGAAUCUACCCUGUCGUGGGGGAUAACGUAGGGAAACUUACGCUAAUACCGCAUACGACCGAGAGGUGAAAGCGGCGGACCGCAAGGCGUCGCGCGAUUGGAUGAGCCCAUGUCGGAUUAGCUAGUUGGCGGGGUAAAGGCCCACCAAGGCGACGAUCCGUAGCUGGUCUGAGAGGAUGAUCAGCCACACUAGAACUGAGACACGGUCCAGACUCCUACGGGAGGCAGCAGUGGGGAAUAUUGGACAAUGGGCGCAAGCCUGAUCCAGCCAUGCCGCGUGAGUGAAGAAGGCCUUCGGGUUGUAAAGCUCUUUUGUCCGGAAAGAAAAGCUCUCGGUUAAUACCCGGGGGUGAUGACGGUACCGGAAGAAUAAGCACCGGCUAACUUCGUGCCAGCCGCCGCGGUAA
RNAcentral lists this ribosomal RNA (506 nucleotides) under uncultured bacterium. RNAcentral describes it as "partial 16S ribosomal RNA". It matches the Rfam family "Bacterial small subunit ribosomal RNA", at positions 29 to 523 of the family's 1533-position model. The record is from RNAcentral.